GCCCAGGUGGUGAAAUCGGUAGACACAAGGGAUUUAAAAUCCCUCGGCUGUAAGGCUGUGCGGGUUCAAGUCCCGCUCUGGGCACCA
RNAcentral lists this transfer RNA (87 nucleotides) under Proteus mirabilis. RNAcentral describes it as "tRNA-Leu". It matches the Rfam family "tRNA". From Rfam's summary of the family: Transfer RNA (tRNA) molecules are approximately 80 nucleotides in length. Their secondary structure includes four short double-helical elements and three loops (D, anti-codon, and T loops). Further hydrogen bonds mediate the characteristic L-shaped molecular structure. tRNAs have two regions of fundamental functional importance: the anti-codon, which is responsible for specific mRNA codon recognition, and the 3' end, to which the tRNAs corresponding amino acid is attached (by aminoacyl-tRNA synthetases). tRNAs cope with the degeneracy of the genetic code in two manners: having more than one tRNA (with a specific anti-codon) for a particular amino acid; and 'wobble' base-pairing, i.e. permitting non-standard base-pairing at the 3rd anti-codon position. RNAcentral also lists the same sequence under 11 other names. Lineage: Bacteria; Pseudomonadati; Pseudomonadota; Gammaproteobacteria; Enterobacterales; Morganellaceae. The record is from RNAcentral.